UACGUAGGGGGCAAGCGUUAUCCGGAUUUACUGGGUGUAAAGGGAGCGCAGACGGUUAUGCAAGUCAGAAGUGAAAGCCCAAAGCUCAACUUCGGGACUGCUUUUGAAACUGUGUAACUAGAGUGCAGGAGGGGUAAGCGGAAUUCCUAGUGUAGCGGUGAAAUGCGUAGAUAUUAGGAGGAACACCGGCGGCGAAGGCGGCUUACUGGACUGUAACUGACGUUGAGGCUCGAAAGCGUGGGGAGCAAACAGG
Molecule: ribosomal RNA, 253 nt
Filed under: uncultured bacterium
Lineage: Bacteria
Description: partial 16S ribosomal RNA
Rfam family: Bacterial small subunit ribosomal RNA
Source: RNAcentral